AAUGAACGUUGGCGGCGUGGAUUAGGCAUGCAAGUCGUGCGAUAACCCCGCAAGGGGGGAAAGCGGCGAAAGGGGGAGUAACGCGUGGGUACCUGCCCCUUGGACCGGAAUAGCUGCGGGAAACUGCAGGCAAUGCCGGAUAAUAUCCUCGGAUCAAAGGUGUGAUUCCGCCGAGGGAGGGGCCCGGGUUCUAUUAGCUAGUUGGUAGGGUAAUGGCCUACCAAGGCGACGAUGGAUACCGGGGGUGAGAGCAUGACCCGGCUCACUGGGACUGAGACACUGCCCAGACACCUACGGGUGGCUGCAGUCGAGAAUCUUCGGCAAUGGGCGCAAGCCUGACCGAGCGACGCCGCGUGCGGGAUGAAGGCCUUCGGGUUGUAAACCGCUGUCGUAGAGGAGGAAAUGCCAUGGGGUUCUCUCCAUGGUUUGACCUAUUCUAGGAGGAAGGACGGGCUAAGUUCGUGCCAGCCGCCGCGGUAA
This 480-nucleotide ribosomal RNA is filed under the name uncultured bacterium. RNAcentral's name for it is "partial 16S ribosomal RNA". It matches the Rfam family "Bacterial small subunit ribosomal RNA", at positions 28 to 523 of the family's 1533-position model. The record is from RNAcentral.